Molecule: non-coding RNA, 194 nt
Filed under: uncultured Prevotella sp.
Lineage: Bacteria; Pseudomonadati; Bacteroidota; Bacteroidia; Bacteroidales; Prevotellaceae
Source: RNAcentral
AUUGGUGUUUCACCAGUGCAUAAAAGGGAAUCAGGUGAGAAUCCUGAGCAGUACCCGCUACUGUCAUCUCCAUUAUGGAAAGUCCAAACAAAGCCACUGACGCAGCGCUUCGCUAGUGAAUAGUGAAGAGUGAAUAGUGAAAAGCGUUGGGAAGGCGGACUUUUCGGAGAGAGCCAGGAGACCUGCCACGUCAA